Molecule: non-coding RNA, 135 nt
Organism: Triticum aestivum (bread wheat)
Lineage: Eukaryota; Viridiplantae; Streptophyta; Magnoliopsida; Poales; Poaceae
Source: Rfam
CAACUACUCCCUCUGAUCCAAAUUUCUUGUCUUAGAUUUGUCUAGAUACGGAUGUAUCUAAUACUAAAAUGUGACUUGAUACAUCCGUAUCUAGACAAAUCUAAGACAAGAAUUUUGGGAUGGAGGGAGUACUUU